This 460-nucleotide ribosomal RNA is filed under the name uncultured bacterium. RNAcentral's name for it is "partial 16S ribosomal RNA". It matches the Rfam family "Bacterial small subunit ribosomal RNA", at positions 338 to 795 of the family's 1533-position model. The record is from RNAcentral.
CCUACGGGGGGCUGCAGUGAGGAAUAUUGGUCAAUGGGCGUAAGCCUGAACCAGCCAAGUCGCGUGAGGGAUGAAGGUUCUAUGGAUCGUAAACCUCUUUUAUAAGGGAAUAAAGUGUGGGACGUGUCCUAUUUUGUAUGUACCUUAUGAAUAAGGAUCGGCUAACUCCGUGCCAGCAGCCGCGGUAAUACGGAGGAUCCGAGCGUUAUCCGGAUUUAUUGGGUUUAAAGGGUGCGUAGGCGGCACCUUAAGUCAGCGGUGAAAGUCUGUGGCUCAAACCUAGAAUUGCCGUUGAAACUGGGGGGCUUGAGUAUGUGUGAGGCAGGCGGAAUGCGUGGUGUAGCGGUGAAAUGCUUAGAUAUCACGCAGAACCCCGAUUGCGAAGGCAGCCUGCCAAGCCAUGACUGACGCUGAUGCACGAAAGCGUGGGGAUCAAACAGGAUUAGAUACCCUAGUAGUC